RNAcentral lists this ribosomal RNA (207 nucleotides) under uncultured bacterium. RNAcentral's name for it is "partial 16S ribosomal RNA". It matches the Rfam family "Bacterial small subunit ribosomal RNA", at positions 1294 to 1500 of the family's 1533-position model. The record is from RNAcentral.
CGGAUUGUAGUCUGCAACCCGACUACAUGAAGCUGGAAUCGCUAGUAAUCGCGAAUCAGAAUGUCGCGGUGAAUACGUUCCCGGGUCUUGUACACACCGCCCGUCACACCAUGGGAGUCGGAAAUGCCCGAAGUCAGUGACCUAACCGAAAGGGAGGAGCUGCCGAAGGUGGAGCCGGUAACUGGGGUGAAGUCGUAACAAGGUACC